UACGAAGGGGGCUAGCGUUGUUCGGAAUUACUGGGCGUAAAGCGUGCGCAGGCGGCUCAUCAAGUCAGAGGUGAAAGCCCAGGGCUCAACCCUGGAACUGCCUUUGAAACUGUUGGGCUUGAGUACGGGAGAGGUGAGUGGAAUUCCGAGUGUAGAGGUGAAAUUCGUAGAUAUUCGGAAGAACACCAGUGGCGAAGGCGGCUUACUGGUCCGGUACUGACGCUGAGGUGCGAAAGUGCGGGGAUCAAACAGG
Molecule: ribosomal RNA, 253 nt
Filed under: uncultured bacterium
Lineage: Bacteria
Description: partial 16S ribosomal RNA
Rfam family: Bacterial small subunit ribosomal RNA
Source: RNAcentral